UACGGAGGGGGCUAGCGUUGUUCGGAAUUACUGGGCGUAAAGCGCACGUAGGCGGCCUGAUAAGUCGGGUGUGAAAGCCCUGGGCUCAACCCAGGAAGUGCACUCGAAACUGUCAGGCUUGAAUAUGGAAGAGGGUCGCGGAAUUCCCGGUGUAGAGGUGAAAUUCGUAGAUAUCGGGAGGAACACCAGUGGCGAAGGCGGCGACCUGGGCCAAUAUUGACGCUGAGGUGCGAAAGCGUGGGGAGCAAACAGG
Molecule: ribosomal RNA, 253 nt
Filed under: uncultured bacterium
Lineage: Bacteria
Description: partial 16S ribosomal RNA
Rfam family: Bacterial small subunit ribosomal RNA
Source: RNAcentral